This 81-nucleotide non-coding RNA is filed under the name uncultured eukaryote. The record is from RNAcentral.
UCUUUUUUUCUUUUCUUUUCUUUUCUUUUUUCCCGUCCCGCUCGCCUACCUUUUAAAAUUUAUCUAUUCAUAGAAACGGGA